GCUCUGGCAGCGACGUCCAUCCACACAGGCAUCUUCAGUGUUGUCUUGAGAUAUAUGUACUAUCUUGAGUUUUGUAUUGGUUUCUUGUGUUGGGUACCUAACCGGAUGGCAAUCGGUAGUCUAAAUGUUUAGUUUCNGCCUUUUGUUGUCCCUUUUUGGGAUGAUGCAGGGUGAACCAUGAAGUAAUCUCUGUGUCCCACGCCUUUCACAUUGAGUUGUGUUUUGUGGAUUGGUCCAUGGGGAAUUUACUUGAGCUGUUGGAUGCGGUGCAUUAUACAUGGGCAUGAGGUCUCACGUCCUCUCUCUGCCCAAACAAAAGCUUUCAUCGCUUAGUUGCGAACGAUUGCGAUCCUCGUUUCGAGCCUUAAGGCAAGUGCGGUGAUGGCUUCGUUGAGGAAUGC
This 401-nucleotide unclassified non-coding RNA is filed under the name Harpagonella palmeri var. palmeri. Its description in RNAcentral is "partial external transcribed spacer". Lineage: Eukaryota; Viridiplantae; Streptophyta; Magnoliopsida; Boraginales; Boraginaceae. The record is from RNAcentral.